This 2901-nucleotide ribosomal RNA is filed under the name Proteus mirabilis. RNAcentral's name for it is "23S ribosomal RNA". It matches the Rfam family "Bacterial large subunit ribosomal RNA". The record is from RNAcentral. Lineage: Bacteria; Pseudomonadati; Pseudomonadota; Gammaproteobacteria; Enterobacterales; Morganellaceae.
GGUUAAGCGAAUAAGCGUACACGGUGGAUGCCUAGGCAAUCAGAGGCGAUGAAGGACGUGCUAAUCUGCGAAAAGCGUCGGUAAGGUGAUAUGAACCGUUAUACCCGACGAUAUCCGAAUGGGGAAACCCAGUAUCCAAUGGAUACUAUCAUUAACUGAAUCCAUAGGUUAAUGAGGCGAACCGGGAGAACUGAAACAUCUCAGUACCCCGAGGAAAAGAAAUCAACCGAGAUUCCCCUAGUAGCGGCGAGCGAACGGGGAGCAGCCCAGAGUCUUAAUCAAUAGCAGUGUCAGGAGAACGGUCUGGAAAGUCCGGCAGUAAAGGGUGAUAGCCCCGUAUCUGAAGAUGCUGUUAUUGUGAACUCGACGAGUAGGGCGGGACACGUGUUAUCCUGUCUGAAUAUGGGGGGACCAUCCUCCAAGGCUAAAUACUCCUGAUUGACCGAUAGUGAACCAGUACCGUGAGGGAAAGGCGAAAAGAACCCCGGCGAGGGGAGUGAAAAAGAACCUGAAACCGUGUACGUACAAGCAGUAGGAGCCUCUUUAUGGGGUGACUGCGUACCUUUUGUAUAAUGGGUCAGCGACUUAUAUUCUGUAGCGAGGUUAACCGUAUAGGGGAGCCGUAGGGAAACCGAGUCUUAACUGGGCGAAUGAGUUGCAGGGUAUAGACCCGAAACCCGGUGAUCUAUCCAUGGGCAGGUUGAAGGUUGGGUAACACUAACUGGAGGACCGAACCGACUAAUGUUGAAAAAUUAGCGGAUGACUUGUGGAUGGGGGUGAAAGGCCAAUCAAACCGGGAGAUAGCUGGUUCUCCCCGAAAGCUAUUUAGGUAGCGCCUCGUGAACUCAUCUUCGGGGGUAGAGCACUGUUUCGACUAGGGGGUCAUCCCGACUUACCAACUCGAUGCAAACUGCGAAUACCGAAGAAUGUUAUCACGGGAGACACACGGCGGGUGCUAACGUCCGUCGUGAAGAGGGAAACAACCCAGACCGCCAGCUAAGGUCCCAAAGUCAUGGUUAAGUGGGAAACGAAGUGGGAAGGCUCAGACAGCCAGGAUGUUGGCUUAGAAGCAGCCAUCAUUUAAAGAAAGCGUAAUAGCUCACUGGUCGAGUCGGCCCGCGCGGAAGAUGUAACGGGGCUAAACCAUGCACCGAAGCUGCGGCAGCGACACAAAGUGUUGUUGGGUAGGGGAGCGUUCUGUAAGCCUGCGAAGGUGUACUGUGAGGUAUGCUGGAGGUAUCAGAAGUGCGAAUGCUGACAUAAGUAACGAUAAUGCGGGUGAAAAACCCGCACGCCGGAAGACCAAGGGUUCCUGUCCAACGUUAAUCGGGGCAGGGUGAGUCGACCCCUAAGGCGAGGCUGAAAAGCGUAGUCGAUGGGAAACGGGUUAAUAUUCCCGUACUGGUGGUAACUGCGAUGGGGGAACGGAGAAGGCUAGGUUGUCCGGGCGACGGUCGUCCCGGUUCAAGCAGGUAGGCAGAGUGAUUAGGCAAAUCCGGUCACUUAAUGCUGAGAUGUGAUGACGAACCACUAAGGUGGUGAAGCAAUUGAUGCCCCGCUUCCAGGAAAAGCCUCUAAGCUUCAGGUUACCAACAAUCGUACCCCAAACCGACACAGGUGGUCAGGUAGAGAAUACUCAGGCGCUUGAGAGAACUCGGGUGAAGGAACUAGGCAAAAUGGUGCCGUAACUUCGGGAGAAGGCACGCUGGCGGUAGGUAAAGUCCCUUGCGGACGGCGCUGAAGCCAGUCGAAGAUACCAGCUGGCUGCAACUGUUUAUUAAAAACACAGCACUGUGCAAACACGAAAGUGGACGUAUACGGUGUGACGCCUGCCCGGUGCUGGAAGGUUAAUUGAUGGGGUUAGCGUAAGCGAAGCUCCUGAUCGAAGCCCCAGUAAACGGCGGCCGUAACUAUAACGGUCCUAAGGUAGCGAAAUUCCUUGUCGGGUAAGUUCCGACCUGCACGAAUGGCGUAAUGAUGGCCAGGCUGUCUCCACCCGAGACUCAGUGAAAUUGAACUCGCUGUGAAGAUGCAGUGUACCCGCGGCAAGACGGAAAGACCCCGUGAACCUUUACUAUAGCUUGACACUGAACAUUGAGCCUUGAUGUGUAGGAUAGGUGGGAGGCUUUGAAGUGUGGACGCCAGUCUGCAUGGAGCCAACCUUGAAAUACCACCCUUUAACGUUUGAUGUUCUAACCUAGGCCCAUAAACUGGGUCGGGGACCGUGUCUGGUGGGUAGUUUGACUGGGGCGGUCUCCUCCUAAAGAGUAACGGAGGAGCACGAAGGUUGGCUAAGCAUGGUCGGACAUCAUGCGGUUAGUGCAAAGGCAUAAGCCAGCUUGACUGCGAGAGUGACGGCUCGAGCAGGUACGAAAGUAGGUCUUAGUGAUCCGGUGGUUCUGAAUGGAAGGGCCAUCGCUCAACGGAUAAAAGGUACUCCGGGGAUAACAGGCUGAUACCGCCCAAGAGUUCAUAUCGACGGCGGUGUUUGGCACCUCGAUGUCGGCUCAUCACAUCCUGGGGCUGAAGUAGGUCCCAAGGGUAUGGCUGUUCGCCAUUUAAAGUGGUACGCGAGCUGGGUUUAGAACGUCGUGAGACAGUUCGGUCCCUAUCUGCCGUGGGCGUUGGAAGAUUGAGAGGGGUUGCUCCUAGUACGAGAGGACCGGAGUGAACGCACCACUGGUGUUCGGGUUGUCAUGCCAAUGGCAUUGCCCGGUAGCUAAGUGCGGAAGAGAUAACCGCUGAAAGCAUCUAAGCGGGAAACUUGCCUCGAGAUGAGUCUUCCCUGUCGCUUUAAGCGACCUAAAGGAACGUUUAAGACUAAGACGUUGAUAGGCUGGGUGUGUAAGCGUAGCGAUACGUUGAGCUAACCAGUACUAAUGAACCGUGAGGCUUAACCUG